RNAcentral lists this long non-coding RNA (272 nucleotides) under Elaeis guineensis (African oil palm). RNAcentral's name for it is "long non-coding RNA (EGUI_LNC074776)". Lineage: Eukaryota; Viridiplantae; Streptophyta; Magnoliopsida; Arecales; Arecaceae. The record is from RNAcentral.
UGCUUGUGGACGAUGGGUCUGGCUUAACUAAGAAGUGUAGGCAAUAACUGUUAGGUGAGCCCACAUGACUUAGAGACCAAGUGGCUGCAACAUGCUUAGAGAAGCAUCUAAGCAAAGAGUUGUCCACACAUUGGUGUUUAUUCAUGUUACCAAUAACCAUUAGGUGAGGUGUAUGGUAUCGGUGGGACUUUAGUACCCACUAGAAUCUCAAUUAUCGCAUUAGGAUUUUUGUUUCUUCACCCGGACAGUGUGAAAAAUCUGAUAAAAUAGUG